This 208-nucleotide ribosomal RNA is filed under the name uncultured bacterium. RNAcentral describes it as "partial 16S ribosomal RNA". It matches the Rfam family "Bacterial small subunit ribosomal RNA", at positions 1293 to 1500 of the family's 1533-position model. The record is from RNAcentral.
UCGGAUUGCAGGCUGCAACCCGCCUGCAUGAAGUUGGAAUCGCUAGUAAUCGCGGAUCAGCAUGCCGCGGUGAAUACGUUCCCGGGCCUUGUACACACCGCCCGUCACACCAUGAGAGUCGGGAACACCCGAAGUCCGUAGCCUGACCGCAAGGGGGGCGCGGCCGAAGGUGGGUUCGAUAAUUGGGGUGAAGUCGUAACAAGGUAAC